AAUACCAAAAUGAGUGAAAUGGAUAUAUACUUCACUCAUUUAGGACAAAUGUUGCACUAAUACAUAUCAUUAAUGUCAACAUGCAUGUACAACAUAAAAACAAUACUCUUAUGCCUAAUCCUAAACAGUUUCUUGCAUAGAGCAAAAGCAACUAACUAGCGGCAUAGUAAUUAUACACAUAUUGCAAUAGAUUAGAGUGCCAAUAACACACAACAUAACA
Molecule: unclassified non-coding RNA, 220 nt
Filed under: Hevea brasiliensis (rubber tree)
Lineage: Eukaryota; Viridiplantae; Streptophyta; Magnoliopsida; Malpighiales; Euphorbiaceae
Source: RNAcentral